RNAcentral lists this transfer RNA (68 nucleotides) under Orfelia nemoralis. RNAcentral's name for it is "tRNA-Glu". The record is from RNAcentral. Lineage: Eukaryota; Metazoa; Arthropoda; Insecta; Diptera; Keroplatidae.
AUUUAUAUAGUUUAAUAAAAACAUUAUAUUUUCACUAUAAAAAUAAAAUUUUAAUUUUUUUAUAAAUU